AAUCCAUGCAUCAGACAUUUUUGAAUUGAAUCUUUAAAUCAUUCCCAAGUUUUAUGUAGUGUUUCAUCCUCCAAUUUUUUAAAAGAUGCGAUAUCAUUUCUAAGCUU
Non-coding RNA from Gossypium raimondii (Peruvian cotton), 107 nucleotides. The record is from Rfam. Lineage: Eukaryota; Viridiplantae; Streptophyta; Magnoliopsida; Malvales; Malvaceae.